This 301-nucleotide ribosomal RNA is filed under the name uncultured bacterium. RNAcentral's name for it is "partial 16S ribosomal RNA". It matches the Rfam family "Bacterial small subunit ribosomal RNA", at positions 509 to 807 of the family's 1533-position model. The record is from RNAcentral.
CAGCAGCCGCGGGAAUACGGAGGGUGCAAGCGUUAUCCGGAAUUACUGGGUGUAAAGGGAGCGUAGACGGUUAAACAAGUCUGAAGUGAAAUGCCGGGGCUCAACCCCGGAGCUGCUUUGGGAACUGUAGAACUGGAGUGUCGGAGGGGUAAGCGGAAUUCCCAGUGUAGCGGUGAAAUGCGUAGAUAUUGGGAGGAACACCGGCGGCGAAGGCGGCUUACUGGGCGACAACUGACGCUGAGGCACGAAAGCGUGGGGAGCAAACAGGAUUAGAUACCCCGGUAGUCCCUGUCUCUUAUAC